GUUGCCUGGGAAUAAACAUGAGCUCUCUGCAGGGAUCUAUUGCUACCUGCUGAUAAGCUACGCAAUUCAACAUCUAGAAGAGAGCUUUGCAGUAUCAUCAUUUUCCUGGACAGAUGGCAAGGCUGGGCUCUUGGCAAGGAUCCUGCAGAGGGAAAAGUGGCAAGAUCUGGAGAUCAUACAUUUUCUCUCAAGAAUGGAAGAAAUGUUUGUCCUUGCAAAUAAAAUCCGAAAUAAACCAUGGUCACCAGGCUUUCUUGAGAGAGGACGAUGCCACAAUCCCAGGUCGGAGACCCUUGGAUUUGGAGGAAUGUCAGGUCCAGCCUGAAUUUCUUAGAAAACCUAGCAGAAAACAGAGCUCUUUCAUUUCAAGAAAUCAAGGCUGGUGAGUGAUUCUUCUAUUUAUUUUUUUAAUCAGCCACGUGAUAGCUAGGAGCAAAAGGGAGAUACUUUACCUCUAAAGACACUGUAUAUGUGUGUAGGCAUGCCAAUAAAUGGUUUUCAGGUGCAAAGCUAUGUGUUUACUGUUAUAGCAAUCAGCUGACACUGCAAAUACUCACAAGAGGCUAACGGGGU
Molecule: long non-coding RNA, 573 nt
Organism: Oxyura jamaicensis (ruddy duck)
Lineage: Eukaryota; Metazoa; Chordata; Aves; Anseriformes; Anatidae
Exons: 3
Source: RefSeq, a predicted model, not a curated record